RNAcentral lists this transfer RNA (72 nucleotides) under Candidatus Woesearchaeota archaeon. RNAcentral's name for it is "tRNA-Pro". It matches the Rfam family "tRNA". From Rfam's summary of the family: Transfer RNA (tRNA) molecules are approximately 80 nucleotides in length. Their secondary structure includes four short double-helical elements and three loops (D, anti-codon, and T loops). Further hydrogen bonds mediate the characteristic L-shaped molecular structure. tRNAs have two regions of fundamental functional importance: the anti-codon, which is responsible for specific mRNA codon recognition, and the 3' end, to which the tRNAs corresponding amino acid is attached (by aminoacyl-tRNA synthetases). tRNAs cope with the degeneracy of the genetic code in two manners: having more than one tRNA (with a specific anti-codon) for a particular amino acid; and 'wobble' base-pairing, i.e. permitting non-standard base-pairing at the 3rd anti-codon position. The record is from RNAcentral. Lineage: Archaea; Nanobdellati; Candidatus Woesearchaeota.
GGGGCUGUAGUGUAGUUGGUAUCACCCAAGGUUCGGGGCCUUGUAACCGGAGUUCGAAUCUUCGUAGCCCCG